GACAGAGGGUGCAAACGUUGUUCGGAAUUACUGGGCGUAAAGCGUGUGUAGGCGGUCCCGUAAGUCGGGUGUGAAAGCCCAGGGCUCAACCCUGGAAGUGCACUCGAAACUGUGGGGCUAGAGUACCGGAGAGGUUGGUGGAAUUCUCGGUGUAGAGGUGAAAUUCGUAGAUAUCGAGAGGAACACCGGUGGCGAAGGCGGCCAACUGGACGAGUACUGACGCUGAGACACGAAAGCGUGGGGAG
RNAcentral lists this ribosomal RNA (245 nucleotides) under uncultured bacterium. RNAcentral describes it as "partial 16S ribosomal RNA". It matches the Rfam family "Bacterial small subunit ribosomal RNA", at positions 524 to 768 of the family's 1533-position model. The record is from RNAcentral.